UUUUUUUUUUUUUUUUUGCACAGAUGCUGUAAUGUUUGCCUCGGGGAUUUGCUGGUAUUUAGUGGAAUCAAAUCUUCAUUCCACCUGAGCAAUACUUCCCGUCCCACUGGCUGCAACACAACCGCAAAGCAGGAUUGAUCCACCCUCAUAUUCAACAGCUGGCAAUACUUCUUUUUUCUCCACACAUACUUUUGCCUAUUGUGGCCAAAGAGUCCUAUUUUCACUUCAUCACACUGUAGUUUAUGAUGAAGACACAGGUUAAAGGUUUCCUUCUGCAGACUCUGCCAUGAAGGUCUUGUCUGUGCAAGUAUAGCUACAUAGUGGAAGGGUGUACCACCGCUCCUGAGUCUGCUCAAUCUUGCUCCAGGUCUUUUGCUGUCAAAUGUGAGUUUUCAUUUUCCUUUCCAGACGUUCUCUCAGACAGUUCUCUCCUUCUUGACCUCCACAGUUCCCCUCAACUGCCAUCUCUUAAUUAUAUAUUGCACUGUGGAAGCUACAAGCUGAUAACGCUUUGCUAUCUUUUUGUAGCCUUCUCCUGCAUUGCGGGCAUCAAUAUAACCUUUAUUACAGCUGUCAAGAGGAACCCAUAGUUGUUAAAUGUUUCCACAGGUUUGUUGAGUCAGAGAGUAUUUAAAAAAACUCUGAAAUUGGCAUCAGUUGGCGCUCCCUAAUGACAAUUGUUGACACAUGCUUCAGGCCAAACGAGCUGAUAAAGGUCUGAGCUUGUAAAACGAAUCUGACACUUCUAAACUCUCACAGCUCACUUUUUUGCAAAUGCAGAAAUGAUCCUACUGAGCCAUAGACGACUAUUAGACAUCUAGUUUUUUUUUUAAGACCAAAUUUUAACUGUCUAGAUUCUGUAUAUUUUUGGAAGGAAUUUAGACGUUGCACUUUAACCCAUUAUUUCAAAAAGAAACUGUGAGUUGCAUAACUGAUCUCCAAGUACUUAACCAAAAUAAUUAUGAUAGCGGUUGAGCAAUAUACAGUGUAGUAUAGAUAUAGUCGGCUAGUCUAAACUUCGUCCAAAUUUACACCCCUAAAAACCUUACAUUUUUAGACCUGUGGUAGCCUGAUUUUAGACCAGUCGUCUAGGCUACAUUUAGACGUCUAUUAGACCUCUUUUAGACCAAAAAAUGCUCUGUGGGACGUUUUUAUUUUUCUAUUUUUGUUCAAUUUAUGAAAUAAAAAGUAACUAUGCAUUAAUGUUUCCUGAAAUAUAUAUAUUUUUUAAAUACCAGAGAGACUAUAGAUAUAAAUUGUAUAAUACAUACAAUUUUCAGCUCCUUCCCGCGCGACAAGGACAAGACGAAACAUAACUCCUCAAAAGUGAAUUUUUAAGAGGUGCACAAACUUUUGCAAACAAAUGUAAAUCUAUGUGUUUAUCAUACACUCUGACUCUUACAGACUUAUAUCUUUGACCUGGUUUUUCCAGAAGAGUUAAGACCUAAGCUCAAAGAUCUCAAACUAGGCAAAGGUUCGUAAGGGAUUAAAAGGUCUAAAAUAUAAUCUGGACUUGGGUCAUGAAGGGUCAUAUAGGUAAUCAAUGGGCUCUUACAAUCAAUCCUUAAACUAACAGGGGGCCGGUUUAAAGAGGCUUAAAAAGAGUGAUACGAUGGUACCAUGUGGCCCUGAUAGUUUAGAGAUCUUAGUGAAGGUGGAGGAGGAGGAAAAGCAAGAAGAUCAGUUUCUGCAUCUCAAAUGUGAAAAAGGAAACAGACCGUGGGCGAAGAGAGUGAGUCUGCAUUUGCACUGAACAGAGUGAAGGUGAGCACUUGAUGUUAACAGGUUGAAUGUCACUUUAGCUUCAAAUGUGAGCAUGCAAGUAUUUGAAAAUGGCGCAAAAUACGAGGCAAACCAACUCCAGCAUUUUAACCAAUAUAUGCAGAGCUGCCUCAGGGAAAAGGAAGUAAAACUGAUUUUUAAAAAGGAAGUUGAAGCUCUGUGAUGAAGAUUAGUGAGGAGGAAUCAAGACGUUUAGAUGCAAGUAUUUGAAAAUACUUAAGAGCUAAUCAAAAAUCAAUUCCUUAUGAGCAGGUAGCCGAUGGACAGACUUUAAAAUGGGUUUAUUGGGGUUUCUCUAUUUCUGGAUUUUUGUCAGGGAGACCAGAAAUUAAAUUACACAAACUCCUGCUUCUGACCAUCAGUGUAAACACCAGCUGCUGUAACCAGGCUGAUCCAGCAGGUGGUACCAAAGAUCCAGAGUUGACCCUGAUCGUGAAGCUGUUUUUCUCAGACAAAGAGACUGCACACAUCUCCAGAGCAUCAAAGUGGAUCCUUCUUAUGUCACACCAAGGCCGCUCGACCUGUUUUAUUGAUCGUAUGAACAGACGGUCGUUUGUUUAUCUCCAUUCAGAAAAGACUGAAUUACAUCAGCUGAGUCUUUGAUAUCUGAGAUCCUGAAUGAGACCUGCUCCUCUCUCUGUCCUGCAGCCGAAAUCUUCUCCACUUUCUGCUGACAAAGGCUUCUGUCUCUCUGCUAUGUGUGUGUGUGUGUGUGUGUGUUUGAAGUUGACACUAAAUGGGGAACAAUGAGUCAUUUCAUUGUCGAGGAAUGAUGUCAUCUUCCUCCUGCAGCCGGCAGGUAUUGUGUACGAGCCGCUGCCUGUCCUCACUGAACCGGUGGGAAGGAGGAAGACGGCGUUUGGCUGCCAGCUUUGUCCUCCUCGCUCUUUGUUCUCAGAGGGACGUCUUAGUUUGACCCCGUCUGUUUGUGUGUUGGUGUUGAACAGGUGCAGAGCAGCCCCUGUAUCUUCAUCUGGUUUGAUUUUAUGCAUGCUGGUCUGUGGUAACCUCACAGGCCGUGUAGAGAGAGGUCAGAAGUUGCGGGUUCAAAAAGGGAACCCACUGUGAAGGCCUUUUCAACUUGUUAGUUCUGGACUAUUAAAAUACAUGUAAAGAUGAACCAUCAUACUUAGAUAAUUCAAGCAGGGAUCGAUUUGUCUUCCAGGUAUAUCCUUCAGUCAGACUCAAACUGGCCUUAACAGUCUGUGCAUGCUCCUUACAUUGCACAUGAGGGUUUGACCUUGACGUUUCACAGCACAGAUGCAUUAAAGGAAACCAGGUAGUGAACAAAACCUUACCGGAAAAUCAACGCUGCUAAGGCACACUUGUUUUCACAGAAAUGGGAAAUGGUUUGAUCCAAGGACAUGAUGUUUGACAGCUCUCAUUAAAGGGAUAUUCCAGUGUAAAAUCAAUUUAUGGUUAAACACACCAUAACACCGAGGU
Molecule: long non-coding RNA, 3225 nt
Filed under: Xyrichtys novacula (pearly razorfish)
Lineage: Eukaryota; Metazoa; Chordata; Actinopteri; Labriformes; Labridae
Source: RNAcentral